UUAUUAUAUAAACCGCUAUCAAGCAUUGCACCCAGCCCCAUCCUUGGCGGUAACAAAAUUUUUCAACAUAAAUUUGUUCCCUGAGCUUGCAAAGAUCCAGGUCAACUCCAGUCAACGCCUGCAGGGCUGAUCAAGUUCGGUCAACGCCGAGCUAGCGUGGUCAACGCCCAUGUCAAUGGUCAACGCCCAACUCAACUCAAAAAAAAAAAAAAAAAAAAAAAAGAGUGGCGGCAAAUUUGCUCUGGACACCCAGAAAGCUUCUCUGGGCACCCAUCCAGUUCUUAAAUUUCCCGCCAGACAAUUGCUCCGCCAACUCUCCUUCUUCGCUGCAUCCUCUGCUCCGCCAGUCAAGCACCCAGCCCCUGCAGCUCCGCUAGCUUACCCCUGCUAGUCUCCCUCUGCAGCUCUGCAUAUUUGCAUAUCACCGCCGGACAUGGCUUCUUCCGCCCAAUUCACCACCGGCAAGGCUCCACCGCCACACUUCUUCAGCGGCCCUUCUCCCUGGCAGCUACUUCCUGACCAAACCACCUCCGCCAGCUCCAGACUCCGCCGCGCUCGGAUCCUCCGCCGAGAUAGGAUCCUUCGCCAGCUCCGAGUUCCGCCGAACUCCGUCAGCGACAGAGCCCAUUCCCCGCUGCACUCAGGCCUGCUGCGAAUACCCGCUGAGCUCCGGGUUCCGCCCACCUCGACGUUCCGCCCACCUGCGCUACCUCCGCUGGCAUCACCUCAAGUCCGGCGACGCUCCGCGGCGACUCCGGUCAUGGUAGCAUCACCUUCGCCCUUCUACAUCCAGCAGCGCCGCCGAACCUUGAGCCUGCAGCUCCACCUCCACCAAUCUUCAUAAGCGGAACACCACCGCUAGCUAUGCCCAGCGGCGGCACACCGCCGCCCACUGGACCAGAUUCCCCCGCUGAGCUUGCACCCACGCAGACUGCCAGCACCGCUCCGCUAGCCAGUUCCGCGUAGCCCCGCUCCGCUGAACUUGGAGCUCCGCUCCGCCGAGCUUCGUCAGCGGCAACCUUCGAGUCUCCGCCGACCUCCACCGCUGGGAUCACCGGCGGCACAUCACCGCCCAACUCAUAAACAAACGCUCCACCGACCACCGCUGCGCUUCACAGCCGGAAGGGUCCCCGCUGCACUCUUGGGCUCCAUCUCCGCCGAACUGGUGCCCCGCCGGCAUUCUCCACUACUCCUCCAUGCUCCAAGGGCACCGCUGACCACCUCCUCCGCUUGCAUCUGCCUCCGCUAGAGCUUACCGCCAGCAUAACAGCAGCUCCCGCCACGGUCCGCCAAGAUCUCCCAGCGGCAAAACCACCGCCCAACUUCCCCGCCCAACACCACCUCUAGCUCCAUCCUCCGCCGAGCUCCAAGUGCUAUCUUCGAUCAUAAUGAGGCACCGCUGGGCGCCGUGACGCAUAACCCACUCCGGCCUCUGUUACGACAUUGGCGGAACUCCUCCGCUGACCAAGUAAGCAGCCUUCGCUGAGCUUCUCCGGCGAACUUCACAGCCGGACUGGUCACCACCAAACUUCACCACUAGCCACCACCGCUGGCCAUCUCUGCUAGCCGGCCUCCGCUCCGCCGAACUCAAAACCUCCGCUGAGCCCCAAUAGCCAAUCACCG
RNAcentral lists this long non-coding RNA (1623 nucleotides) under Rosa chinensis. RNAcentral describes it as "sRNA RchiOBHm_Chr7g0229891". The record is from RNAcentral. Lineage: Eukaryota; Viridiplantae; Streptophyta; Magnoliopsida; Rosales; Rosaceae.